AACGAACGCUGGCGGCGUGGAUAAGACAUGCAAGUCGAACGAUUACUGGUGGGUAGCAAUAUUCGCUAGUGAGAGUGGCGCAAGGGUGCGUAACACGUGGGUAAUUUGCCGUGAAGUCUGGGAUAACUUGCUGAAAGGCGAGCUAAUACCGGAUGUGAUUACUGGAAGGCAUCUUCUGGUACUUAAAGUCGGGGACCGUAAGGCCUGACGCUUCUCGAUAAGCCCGCGGCCUAUCAGCUAGUUGGUGAGGUAACGGCUCACCAAGGCUAAGACGGGUAGCUGGUCUGAGAGGACGACCAGCCACACUGGAACUGAGACACGGUCCAGACACCUACGGGUGGCAGCAGUCGAGAAUUUUUCNCAAUGGGCGAAAGCCUGAAGGAGCGACGCCGCGUGGGGGAUGAAUGGCUUCGGCCCGUAAACCCCUGUCAUUUGCGAUCAAACCUCACGACCUAACACGUCGUGAGCUGAUAGUAGCGGAAGAGGAAGGGACGGCUAACU
Molecule: ribosomal RNA, 501 nt
Filed under: uncultured bacterium
Lineage: Bacteria
Description: bacterial SSU rRNA
Rfam family: Bacterial small subunit ribosomal RNA
Source: RNAcentral